UUUAGAGUUUGAUCCAUGGCUCAGAUUGAACGCUGGCGGCGUGCCUAACACAUGCAAGUCGCACGCGAAAGGGGGCAACCCCGAGUAGAGUGGCGGACGGGUGAGAAAUGCUUGGGAAUCUACCUCGUAGUGGGGGACAACCUAGGGAAACUUAGGCUAAUACCGCAUACGAUCCAUGGAUGAAAGCGGAGGACCGCAAGGCUUCGCGCUAUGAGAUGAGCCCAAGUCCGAUUAGCUAGUUGGUGAGGUAAAAGCUCACCAAGGCGACGAUCGGUAGCUGGUCUGAGAGGACGACCAGCCACACUGGGACUGAGACACGGCCCAGACUCCUACGGGAGGCAGCAGUGGGGAAUAUUGGACAAUGGGGGAAACCCUGAUCCAGCGACGCCGCGUGGGUGAAGAAGGCCUUCGGGUUGUAAAGCCCUUUCGGCAGGGAAAAAAAUGGCGGAGCUAAUAUCUCCGUCCUUGAUGGUACCUGAAGAAGAGCACCGG
This 492-nucleotide ribosomal RNA is filed under the name uncultured bacterium. Its description in RNAcentral is "bacterial SSU rRNA". It matches the Rfam family "Bacterial small subunit ribosomal RNA", at positions 1 to 496 of the family's 1533-position model. The record is from RNAcentral.